UACGUAGGGAGCAAGCGUUGUCCGGAUCUACUGGGUGUAAAGGGUAUGUAGGCGGUUCUGAAAGCUUGGUGUGAAAGGCUCGGGCUCAACCGGAGCAGUGCCGUUGAUACUGGUUGUCUUGAAUGCGGUCAAGGCCGGCGGAAUGUGGCGUGUAGCGGUGAAAUGCAUAGAUAUGCCACAGAACACCGAUAGCGAAGGCAGCUGGCCGGGCCUGCAUUGACGCUGAGGCACGAAAGCGUGGGGAUCGAAC
Molecule: ribosomal RNA, 250 nt
Filed under: uncultured prokaryote
Description: partial 16S ribosomal RNA
Rfam family: Bacterial small subunit ribosomal RNA
Source: RNAcentral